CCUACGUGUGGCAGCAGUGGGGAAUAUUGCGCAAUGGGCGAAAGCCUGACGCAGCGACGCCGCGUGAGGGAUGAAGGUCUUCGGAUCGUAAACCUCUGUCAGCAGGGAAGAACGGUCACUGUGCUAAUCAGCAGUGAAUUGACGGUACCUGCAAAGGAAGCACCGGCUAACUCCGUGCCAGCAGCCGCGGUAAUACGGAGGGUGCGAGCGUUAAUCGGAAUUACUGGGCGGAAAGCGCUCGUAGGCGGUAUGUCAAGUCAAGUGUGAAAUCCCCGCGCUCAACGUGGGAACUGCCGUUGAAACUGGCAAACUGGAGUGUGUGAGAGGAUAGUGGAAUGCCAGGUGUAGGAGUGAAAUCCGUAGAUAUCUGGAGGAACAUCAGUGGCGAAGGCGACUAUCUGGCACAUAACUGACGCUGAGGAGCGAAAGCGUGGGUAGCAAACAGGAUUAGAUACCCCUGUAGUC
RNAcentral lists this ribosomal RNA (465 nucleotides) under uncultured bacterium. Its description in RNAcentral is "partial 16S ribosomal RNA". It matches the Rfam family "Bacterial small subunit ribosomal RNA", at positions 338 to 795 of the family's 1533-position model. The record is from RNAcentral.